This 599-nucleotide ribosomal RNA is filed under the name Francisella-like endosymbiont of Dermacentor albipictus. RNAcentral describes it as "bacterial SSU rRNA". It matches the Rfam family "Bacterial small subunit ribosomal RNA", at positions 336 to 922 of the family's 1533-position model. Lineage: Bacteria; Pseudomonadati; Pseudomonadota; Gammaproteobacteria; Thiotrichales; Francisellaceae. The record is from RNAcentral.
CUCCUACGGGAGGCAGCAGUGAGGAAUAUUGGACAAUGGGGGCAACCCUGAUCCAGCAAUGCCAUGUGUGUGAAGAAGGCCUUAGGGUUGUAAAGCACUUUAGUUGGGGAAGAAAGCUUUGAGGUUAAUAGCCUUGAAGAAAAGGACGUUACCCAAAGAAUAAGCACCGGCUAACUCCGUGCCAGCAGCCGCGGUAAUACGGGGGGUGCAAGCGUUAAUCGGAAUUACUGGGCGUAAAGGGUCUGUAGGUGGUUUGUUAAGUCAGAUGUGAAAGCCUAGGGCUCAACCUUGGAACUGCAUUUGAUACUGGUAAACUAGAGUACGGUAGAGGAAUAGGGAAUUUCUGGUGUAGCGGUGAAAUGCGUAGAGAUCAGAAGGAACACCAAUGGCGAAGGCAACAUUCUGGACCGAUACUGACACUGAGGGACGAAAGCGUGGGGAUCAAACAGGAUUAGAUACCCUGGUAGUCCACGCUGUAAACGAUGAGUACUAGCUGUUGGAGUCGGUGUAAAGGCUCUAGUGGCGCAGCUAACGCGAUAAGUACUCCGCCUGGGGAUUACGGCCGCAAGGCUAAAACUCAAAGGAAUUGACGGGGACCC